Sus scrofa (pig) is the source of this 73-nucleotide non-coding RNA. The record is from Rfam. Lineage: Eukaryota; Metazoa; Chordata; Mammalia; Artiodactyla; Suidae.
CCUGUGGUGGUGCAGUGGUUAACAAAUCUGACUGAGAACCAUGAGGUUGCAGGUUCGAUCCCUGUCCUCACGG